UACGUAGGGUCCAAGCGUUAUCCGGAAUCACUGGGCGUAAAGCGUCCGCAGCCGGCGUGUUAAGUGAGAUGUUAAAUCAUGUGGCUCAACCAUAUCGAUGUAUCUCAUACUGGCAUGCUAGAGGAAAUCAGAGGCAAGUGGAAUUUGUAGUGUAGCAGUGAAAUGCGUAGAUAUUACAAGGAACACCAAUGGCGAAGGCAGCUUGCUGGGAUUUUUCUGACGGUCAUGGACGAAAGCGUGGGGAGCGAACAGGAUUAGAUACCCUGGUAGUCCACGCCGUAAACGAUGCAUACUAGACGUAUGGGGUAUCGACCCCCUGUGCGUCGAAGCUAACGCGAUAAGUAUGCCGCCUGGGAAGUACGGCCGCAAGGCUAAA
This 376-nucleotide ribosomal RNA is filed under the name uncultured bacterium. RNAcentral's name for it is "bacterial SSU rRNA". It matches the Rfam family "Bacterial small subunit ribosomal RNA", at positions 524 to 898 of the family's 1533-position model. The record is from RNAcentral.